AUUGAUUUGAGGGGGGAAAAUUAAUAAAUUAAUAUUAAUAAAAAAAUUUUUAAUAAAAUAUUUAAUGGGGGUUAAAGUAUUUUAUAAGAAAAAAUUUAUUAAUUUAUAAAUAAUUAGUAUUGUGAAAGAAUUUUGAAAUAUAUGAAAUAUUAAUUAGAGAAAAAGUAAUUUUAAUUUAAUGUAUCUUGGGUAUCAGAGUUUAUUAAAAAUUUAUUUUUAUUUAAAAAUUUCUCGAAUUUAAAAGAGAUAAUUAAUUAAAAAAGUUAUUGUUGCAUAAAUAUUUUUAAUAAUUAAUUGGAAAUGAAAUGUUAAUCGUUUUUAAAUAUAUCUAGUUUUUUUAGAAAAAAAUUCAAUUUUAAAUUUUUAAAAAGAAAAUAAACUUAAUUAAUUAAGUUUAUUUUAAAAAAGUUUUAUAUUUUAAGGGAUAAGCUUUAAUUUAAAUUUAUAUAUUAGAAAUAAAUUUAUAUUGAAAAUUAUAUAAUUUAUAUUGUUAAUAAUUUAUAAUUUAUUAUAAAUAAUUUCAUUUAAAAUAAAAUUUAAUAAAAAAAAUUAUAUUUUUAUAAAAAAAUAAUUUAAAAUAUUAAAAAAUUAGUUAUAAUGAUAAAAUUAGUAUAUAAAUUUAGUUAAAUUAUAAUUUUUAAGUAAAUUAAUUAAAAGGAAUUCGGCAAAUGAAAUAAAUAUAUUCACUUGUUUAUCAAAAACAUGUCUUUUUGAAAAUAAUAUAAAGUCUAAUCUGCCCACUGAUUUUAAUUGAAGGGCUGCAGUAUUUUGACUGUACAAAGGUAGCAUAAUCAUUAGUCAUUUAAUUGGUGACUUGUAUGAAAGAUUGGAUGAAAUAUAAACUGUCUCUUAAUUAAAUUAUAAAAUUUAAUUUUUUAAUUAAAAAGUUAAAAUAAAAUAAAAAGACGAGAAGACCCUAUAGAGUUUUAUAAAUAUUUUAAUUAAGAUUAUUUAUAUUAAUUAUUAAUUAAAAUUAAAAUAUUUAUUUUGUUGGGGUGACAGAAAAAUAAAAUAAACUUUUUAUAAAAUUAAUUAUUUACAUAGAUAAGUGAAUUAAUGAUCCAAUAAUAUUGAUUAUAAGAAAAAAUUACCUUAGGGAUAACAGCGUAAUUUUUUUUUUUAGUUCAAAUAAAAAAAAAAGUUUGCGACCUCGAUGUUGGAUUAAGAUAAAAUUUAAAUGCAGAAGUUUAAAAUUUUUGAUCUGUUCGAUCAUUAAAAUCUUACAUGAUCUGAGUUCAAACCGGUGUAAGCCAGGUUGGUUUCUAUCUUUUAUAAAUUAAAAUAUUUUAGUACGAAAGGAUUAAAUAUUUAAAUUAAAUUUAUUGUUUUGAAUAUUAAU
Molecule: ribosomal RNA, 1339 nt
Filed under: Xanthodes intersepta
Lineage: Eukaryota; Metazoa; Arthropoda; Insecta; Lepidoptera; Noctuidae
Description: 16S ribosomal RNA
Source: RNAcentral